CAGUCGCCGCGGUAAUACGGAGGGCGCGAGCGUUACCCGGAUUUACUGGGCGUAAAGGGCGUGUAGGCGGCCUGGGGCGUCCCAUGUGAAAGGCCACGGCUCAACCGUGGAGGAGCGUGGGAUACGCUCAGGCUAGAGGGUGGGAGAGGGUGGUGGAAUUCCCGGAGUAGCGGUGAAAUGCGCAGAUACCGGGAGGAACGCCGAUGGCGAAGGCAGCCACCUGGUCCACUUCUGACGCUGAGGCGCGAAAGCGUGGGGAGCAAACCGGAUUAGAUACCCCAGUAGUCCCUGUCUCUUAUAA
Molecule: ribosomal RNA, 301 nt
Filed under: uncultured bacterium
Lineage: Bacteria
Description: partial 16S ribosomal RNA
Rfam family: Bacterial small subunit ribosomal RNA
Source: RNAcentral